Molecule: ribosomal RNA, 773 nt
Filed under: uncultured Neocallimastigales
Lineage: Eukaryota; Fungi; Neocallimastigomycota; Neocallimastigomycetes; Neocallimastigales
Description: partial large subunit ribosomal RNA
Rfam family: Eukaryotic large subunit ribosomal RNA
Source: RNAcentral
GUACACGCUGUGACUAGCAUAUCAAUAAGCGGAGGAAAAGAAACUAACAAGGAUUCCCCUAGUAACGGCGAGUGAAGCGGGAAGAGCUCAAAUUUGAAAUCUUAAAGGGUUUCCCUUUACGAAUUGUAGUUUAAAGAAGUGUUUUCUGUUGAGGUUUUGGUAAAAGUUCUUUGGAAUAGGACAUCAUAGAGGGUGAGAAUCCCGUAUUUGACCUUUACUUUCAACUUUGUGAUACACUUUCAAAGAGUCGGAUUGUUUGGGAAUGCAGUCCAAAAUGGGUGGUAAAUUUCAUCUAAAGCUAAAUAUUGGCGAGAGACCGAUAGCGAACAAGUACCGUGAGGGAAAGAUGAAAAGAACUUUGAAAAGAGAGUUAAACAGUACGUGAAAUUGUCAAAAGGGAAGCGUUCGACACCAGUGUUGUUUUUCUGAAAAUCAAUUAAAGAACUGUUUAUGCUAAGUUGUUUAGACUUUAUCAGCUAACUGUUUAGUUUUGAGCUUUUCUUUAAUGCACCUUUCAGUUAACAAGUCAACAUCAAUUUCUUUUGCUGUAAAAAAGCUUGAGGAAGGUGGCUUGAGAUUCGUCUUAAGUGUUUAUAGCCUCUUGCCUAUGCAGUCGGAGAGAUUGAGGUCUGCAGCGUAGAUCCUUCGGGGCUAAAUGCAUUUGUGCUAAGUUAUAGCAUUUUAUAGACAACUUGUUGACUAUGAUUUGUCUUGUAGCUUACUCGCUUAUGUUAUUUUACCUACGCUUAGGAUGUUGACAGCAGUAUAGACUG